ACGAACGCUGGCGGCGUGCUUAACACAUGCCAGUCGAACGGAAAGGCCCUGCUUUUGUGGGGUGCUCGAGUGGCGAACGGGGGAGUAACCCGUGAGUAACCUGCCCUUGACUUUGGGAUAACUUCAGGAAACUGGGGCUAAUACCGGAUAGGAGCUCCUGCUGCAUGGUGGGGGUUGGAAAGUUUCGGCGGUUGGGGAUGGACUCGCGGCUUAUCAGCUUGUUGGUGGGGUAGUGGCUUACCAAGGCUUUGACGGGUAGCCGGCCUGAGAGGGUGACCGGCCACAUUGGGACUGAGAUACGGCCCAGACUCCUACGGGAGGCAGCAGUGGGGAAUAUUGCACAGUGGGCGGAAGCCUGAUGCAGCAACGCCGCGUGCGGGAUGACGGCCUUCGGGUUGUAAACCGCUUUCGCCUGUGACGAAGCGUGAGUGACGGUAAUGGGUAAAGAAGCACCGGCUAACUACGUG
RNAcentral lists this ribosomal RNA (467 nucleotides) under uncultured bacterium. RNAcentral's name for it is "partial 16S ribosomal RNA". It matches the Rfam family "Bacterial small subunit ribosomal RNA", at positions 29 to 507 of the family's 1533-position model. The record is from RNAcentral.